UGGGGAAUAUUGCACAAUGGGCGCAAGCCUGCUGCAGCCAUGCCGCGUGUGUGAAGAAGGCCUUCGGGUUGUAAAGCACUUUCAGCGGGGAGGAAGGCGUUAAGGUUAAUAACCUUGUCGAUUGACGUUACCCGCAGAAGAAGCACCGGCUAACUCCGUGCCAGCAGCCGCGGUAAUACGGAGGGUGCAAGCGUUAAUCGGAAUCACUGGGCGUAAAGCGCACGCAGGCGGUCUGUCAAGUCGGAUGUGAAAUACCCGGGCUCAAACUGGGAACUGCAUCGGAUACUGGCAAGCUUGAGUCUCGUAGAGGGAGGUAGAAUUCCAGGUGUAGCGGUGAAAUGCGUAGAGGUAUGGAGGAAUACCGGUGGCGAAGGCGGCCCCCUGGACGAAAACUGACGCUCAGGUGCGAAAGCGUGGGGAGCAAACAGG
RNAcentral lists this ribosomal RNA (429 nucleotides) under Chloroflexota bacterium. Its description in RNAcentral is "Chloroflexi bacterium partial 16S ribosomal RNA". It matches the Rfam family "Bacterial small subunit ribosomal RNA", at positions 355 to 776 of the family's 1533-position model. Lineage: Bacteria; Bacillati; Chloroflexota. The record is from RNAcentral.